This is a small nuclear RNA of Daphnia carinata, 193 nucleotides long. RefSeq annotates it as U2 spliceosomal RNA. The record is from RefSeq and is a predicted model, not a curated record. The transcript has a single exon. Lineage: Eukaryota; Metazoa; Arthropoda; Branchiopoda; Diplostraca; Daphniidae.
UUAACUUUAUUUCCAGUCCGUUGGAAAAUACAAUGCAUAAAAUCUGUUCUUAUCAGCGUAAUAUCUGGUACGGGUUCAAAUGGACCCCAGAAUAUUAAACUGAUUUUUCGAGUUAGCUCAGUUACUACUUGGAUGCAGAUGAGCUUUUUGCGCUUCUCUUUGUGUUUGUGUUUGUUUUGUUGCAAAAAGGGUU